CCUACGGGGGGCAGCAGUGGGGGAUAUUGCACAAUGGGGGAAACCCUGAUGCAGCAACGCCGCGUGUGGGAAGAAGGUUUUCGGAUUGUAAACCACUGUUCUUGGUGAAGAUAAUGACGGUAACCAAGGAGAAAUCUCCGGCUAACUACGUGCUAGCAGCCGCGGUAAUAAGUAGGGAGCAGGCGUUGUCCGGAUUUACUGGGUGUAAAGGGUGAGUAGGCGGUCUUGCAAGUCAGACGUGAAAACCACGGGCUCAACCUGUGGACUGCGUUUGAAACUGUGGGGCUUGAGUGAAGUAGAGGUAGGCGGAAUUCCCGGUGUAGCGGUGAAAUGCGUAGAGAGCGGGAGGAACACCAGUGGCGAAGGCGGCCUACUGGGCUUUAACUGACGCUGAGGCACGAAGGCCAGGGGAGCGAAAGGGAUUAGAUACCCGGGUAGUC
This 440-nucleotide ribosomal RNA is filed under the name uncultured bacterium. Its description in RNAcentral is "partial 16S ribosomal RNA". It matches the Rfam family "Bacterial small subunit ribosomal RNA", at positions 338 to 795 of the family's 1533-position model. The record is from RNAcentral.